Molecule: unclassified non-coding RNA, 174 nt
Filed under: uncultured fungus
Lineage: Eukaryota; Fungi
Description: sequence contains ITS1
Source: RNAcentral
UUUCUUUAUUAUGUAUUGACAUGCAUUCAUUAACCAGGGUGUGUGAAUAAAGCGGCUAUUCGGGGUAUUCCCUUUUGCCAGCAGAGGUGCACAAUGUUUAGGAGUGGUUUCGGACUCUACAAGUAGACAUCCUAUAAUUCACUAAUGAUCCUUCCGCAGGUUCACCUACGGAAA